UACAGAGGUCCCAAGCGUUGUUCGGAUUCACUGGGCGUAAAGGGUGCGUAGGUGGUGAGGUAAGUCGGAUGUGAAAGCUCGGAGCUCAACUCCGAAAUGGCAUUGGAAACUACCUUGCUCGAGGGUUGGAGGGGGGACUGGAAUUUACAGUGUAGCAGUGAAAUGCGUAGAGAUCGUAAGGAAGACCAGUGGCGAAGGCGGGUCUCUGGACAGUUCCUGACACUGAGGCACGAAGGCCAGGGGAGCAAACGGG
RNAcentral lists this ribosomal RNA (253 nucleotides) under uncultured bacterium. Its description in RNAcentral is "partial 16S ribosomal RNA". It matches the Rfam family "Bacterial small subunit ribosomal RNA", at positions 524 to 776 of the family's 1533-position model. The record is from RNAcentral.